This 396-nucleotide ribosomal RNA is filed under the name uncultured bacterium. RNAcentral's name for it is "partial 16S ribosomal RNA". It matches the Rfam family "Bacterial small subunit ribosomal RNA", at positions 360 to 774 of the family's 1533-position model. The record is from RNAcentral.
AAUAUUGGACAAUGGGGGCAACCCUGACCCAGCCACGCCGCGUGUGUGAAGAAGGUCUUCGGGUCGUAAACCUCUGUCCUAAUGGUAGAAACGGACGGUACCUUAGGAGGAAGCCCCGGCUGACUACGUGCCAGCAGCCGCGGUAAUACGUAGGGGGCGAGCGUUAUCCGGAAUUAUUGGGCGUAAAGGGUGCGUAGGCGGCUUUUUAAGGCAGAUGUGAAAGGCUACGGCUUAACCAUAGUAAGCAUUUGAAACUAAAAGGCUUGAGUGCAGGAGAGGAGAGUGGAAUUCCUAGUGUAGCGGUGAAAUGCGUAGAUAUUAGGAGGAACACCAGUGGCGAAGGCGACUCUCUGGACUGCAACUGACGCUGAGGCACGAAAGCGUGGGGAGCGAACA